Molecule: ribosomal RNA, 254 nt
Filed under: uncultured bacterium
Lineage: Bacteria
Description: partial 16S ribosomal RNA
Rfam family: Bacterial small subunit ribosomal RNA
Source: RNAcentral
UACGGAGGAUCCAAGCGUUAUCCGGAAUCAUUGGGUUUAAAGGGUCCGUAGGCGGUUUGGUAAGUCAGUGGUGAAAGCCCAUCGCUCAACGGUGGAACGGCCAUUGAUACUGCCAGACUUGAAUUAUUAGGAAGUAACUAGAAUAUGUAGUGUAGCGGUGAAAAUGCUUAGAGAUUACAUGGAAUACCAAUUGCGAAGGCAGGUUACUACUAAUGGAUUGACGCUGAUGGACGAAAGCGUGGGUAGCGAACAGG